CCUACGGGAUGCACCAGUGGGGAAUAUUGCACAAUGGGCGCGAGCCUGAUGCAGCCAUGCCGCGUGUAUGAAGAAGGCCUUCGGGUUGUAAAGUACUUUCAGCGGGGAGGAAGGCGAUAAGGUUAAUAACCUUGUCGAUUGACGUUAUCCGCAGAAGAAGCACCGGCUAACUCCGUGCCAGCAGCCGCGGUAAUACGGAGGGUGCAAGCGUUAAUCGGAAUUACUGGGCGUAAAGCGCACGCAGGCGGUCUGUCAAGUCGGAUGUGAAAUCCCCGGGCUCAACCUGGGAACUGCAUUCGAAACUGGCAGGCUAGAGUCUUGCAGAGGGGGUAGAAUUCCAGGUGUAGCGGUGAAAUGCGUAGAGAUCUGGAGGAAUACCGGUGGCGAAGGCGGCCCCCUGGACAAAGACUGACGCUCAGGUGCGAAAGCGUGGGGAGCAAACAGGAUUAGAUACCCCUGUAGUC
RNAcentral lists this ribosomal RNA (464 nucleotides) under uncultured bacterium. Its description in RNAcentral is "bacterial SSU rRNA". It matches the Rfam family "Bacterial small subunit ribosomal RNA", at positions 338 to 795 of the family's 1533-position model. The record is from RNAcentral.